AGCCGAUGAUUUUACUAUUUGCUACUCUUGACAAUCUUGAAUGACGAGAUAUUUUCACCAAGAUCUCUGAGGCU
Small nucleolar RNA from Sycon ciliatum, 74 nucleotides. RefSeq annotates it as small nucleolar RNA SNORD24. NCBI's taxonomy places the organism in Eukaryota, Metazoa, Porifera, Calcarea, Leucosolenida, Sycettidae. The transcript has a single exon. The record is from RefSeq and is a predicted model, not a curated record.